UGAGGAAUUUUGCGCAAUGGGAGCAACCCUGACGCAGCAACGCCGCGUGGGUGAUGAAGGCCUUCGGGUCGUAAAGCUCUGUCUUCAGGGACGAUAAUGACGGUACCUGAGGAGGAAGCCACGGCUAACUACGUGCCAGCAGCCGCGGUAAUACGUAGGUGGCGAGCGUUGUCCGGAUUUACUGGGCGUAAAGGGAGCGUAGGCGGACUUUUAAGUGAGAUGUGAAAUACCCGGGCUUAACCUGAGUGCUGCAUUUCAAACUGGAAGUCUAGAGUGCAGGAGAGGAGAAGGGAAUUCCUAGUGUAGCGGUGAAAUGCGUAGAGAUUAGGAAGAACACCAGUGGCGAAGGCGCUUCUCUGGACUGUAACUGACGCUGAGGCUCGAAAGCGUGGGGAGCAAACU
RNAcentral lists this ribosomal RNA (402 nucleotides) under uncultured prokaryote. RNAcentral's name for it is "bacterial SSU rRNA". It matches the Rfam family "Bacterial small subunit ribosomal RNA", at positions 355 to 774 of the family's 1533-position model. The record is from RNAcentral.